Molecule: long non-coding RNA, 375 nt
Filed under: Anas platyrhynchos platyrhynchos (common mallard)
Lineage: Eukaryota; Metazoa; Chordata; Aves; Anseriformes; Anatidae
Description: lncRNA (ENSAPLG00000029181.1)
Source: RNAcentral
CGCUGAGGAGCAAGAGGGAACAGAAACUGAAGUGGUGUUUCAUUCUACUGAGAUGAGGGCUGCUCUGGCAAGUCACAACAGUGGAAACAAGUCAAGGCAGCUUUGGACAGGAAUGGGCCAACUUCAAAAAGAUCUGCAGUUUGCGUUCCUUCCAUAUAAACAUCUCGGGGUUUAGAUGCUUAUCUGUACUUCUGCAUCUGAUCUAAGCUCCUAGGACUACAUUCUGAGUGGGCAAGGAAGGUUAUUUUGCUCAUUCUGCCAUAAGACCUGACCCUUUGAAGGAUGCAGCACUGGAGGAUCUCUGUACACGGGUGAGAGUUGAAGGAACAGAGAACGUUUCAGGUAAUGCCUUUCAUCCCUCUUACAUCAUGUAUU